CAACCUGCCCAUCACUUGGGGAUAACCUUGCGAAAGUAAGACUAAUACCCAAUGACGUCUCUAGAAGACAUCUGAAGGAGAUUAAAGAUUUAUCGGUGAUGGAUGGGGAUGCGUCUGAUUAGCUUGUUGGCGGGGUAACGGCCCACCAAGGCAACGAUCAGUAGGGGUUCUGAGAGGAAGGUCCCCCACAUUGGAACUGAGACACGGUCCAAACUCCUACGGGAGGCAGCAGUGAGGAAUAUUGGUCAAUGGACGAGAGUCUGAACCAGCCGAGUAGCGUGCAGGAUGACGGCCCUAUGGGUUGUAAACUGCUUUUAUAAGGGAAUAAAGUGAGUCUCGUGAGACUUUUUGCAUGUACCUUAUGAAUAAGGACCGGCUAAUUCCGUGCCAGCAGCCGCGGUAAUACGGAAGGUCCGGGCGUUAUCCGGAUUUAUUGGGUUUAAAGGGAGCGUAGGCCGGAGAUUAAGCGUGUUGUGAAAUGUAGACGCUCAACGUCUGCACUGCAGCGCGAACUGGUUUCCUUGAGUACGCACAAAGUGGGCGGAAUUCGUGGUGUAGCGGUGAAAUGCUUAGAUAUCACGAAGAACUCCGAUUG
RNAcentral lists this ribosomal RNA (595 nucleotides) under uncultured Bacteroidota bacterium. RNAcentral describes it as "bacterial SSU rRNA". It matches the Rfam family "Bacterial small subunit ribosomal RNA", at positions 122 to 715 of the family's 1533-position model. Lineage: Bacteria; Pseudomonadati; Bacteroidota. The record is from RNAcentral.